RNAcentral lists this ribosomal RNA (738 nucleotides) under Acinetobacter sp. 2P2B1. RNAcentral describes it as "bacterial SSU rRNA". It matches the Rfam family "Bacterial small subunit ribosomal RNA", at positions 95 to 828 of the family's 1533-position model. The record is from RNAcentral. Lineage: Bacteria; Pseudomonadati; Pseudomonadota; Gammaproteobacteria; Moraxellales; Moraxellaceae.
GCGGCGGACGGGUGAGUAAUGCUUAGGAAUCUGCCUAUUAGUGGGGGACAACGUUUCGAAAGGAACGCUAAUACCGCAUACGCCCUANGGGGGAAAGCAGGGGAUCUUCGGACCUUGCGCUAAUAGAUGAGCCUAAGUCAGAUUAGCUAGUUGGUGGGGUAAAGGCCUACCAAGGCGACGAUCUGUAGCGGGUCUGAGAGGAUGAUCCGCCACACUGGGACUGAGACACGGCCCAGACUCCUACGGGAGGCAGCAGUGGGGAAUAUUGGACAAUGGGGGGAACCCUGAUCCAGCCAUGCCGCGUGUGUGAAGAAGGCCUUUUGGUUGUAAAGCACUUUAAGCGAGGAGGAGGCUCUUCUAGUUAAUACCUAGGAUGAGUGGACGUUACUCGCAGAAUAAGCACCGGCUAACUCUGUGCCAGCAGCCGCGGUAAUACAGAGGGUGCGAGCGUUAAUCGGAUUUACUGGGCGUAAAGCGUACGUAGGCGGCUUUUUAAGUCGGAUGUGAAAUCCCUGAGCUUAACUUAGGAAUUGCAUUCGAUACUGGGAAGCUAGAGUAUGGGAGAGGAUGGUAGAAUUCCAGGUGUAGCGGUGAAAUGCGUAGAGAUCUGGAGGAAUACCGAUGGCGAAGGCAGCCAUCUGGCCUAAUACUGACGCUGAGGUACGAAAGCAUGGGGAGCAAACAGGAUUAGAUACCCUGGUAGUCCAUGCCGUAAACGAUGUCUACUAGCCGUUGGGG